CCCUAGCAGAAAACCCUAACUCCCUCGAUCCCUCUCAACCUCUGUAGCGCUGAAUCUCAGCGGAAGCUCUUCCUUCUUCUUCUCUGCCAUCGACGCCGCCGGACAGCACCAUCGCGGCGGCGCGGCUCUCUUCUCUUCCUCUCUCUUUCUCGUAGCUCGUAGCGCUUCUCUUUCUCCCUCAGCCUCGACAGCUCCACACACCACCUCUCCAGCAGCCGUCACCUCCACGAACCAACAGCCACUGUCUUCUUCGACGAACCGCAGUAGCACGCACCUGACGCAGUCGAAGCAACCGCCGUUCAUCGUCCGUCUCUCGUUCGUCGUUGAUCUGUCUGGUCUUUGGUUCGUCGUCGCCGCCGUCUCACCAUCCUGCACCUCCGUCGUCCUCUGCAAUGGAGCCUAAGUCUCAGAAAAGGAGAAAGUGAAAGAGGAAGAACUUGUGGAAUUGGUGCACCACAUGAACAUUUUUGGAAUUAGUUUGAUUGUAUUUUUUAUUCAGUUUGGUUCUAUUUCUUGACUUAGUUUGGAAUUGCCCCGAAUUGGUGCACCAUUUUUGCAAAAUUUUUGGAAUUAGUUUGGUUGUAUUUCUUUACUUUCUUGAUGUUCUGUUUCCCCUGUUUUUGCAACAAAAUUGCUAAUGAUUUUAAUUUGUGCUUCUGCUAAUUUGUUACUGAUUUAUGAGUCAAGUUGAUCAUUGUUCCAUCUGCAUCUAUUGAUUUUGCGAAAUUGUUAAUUA
Arachis stenosperma is the source of this 736-nucleotide long non-coding RNA. RefSeq lists it as uncharacterized. The record is from RefSeq and is a predicted model, not a curated record. NCBI's taxonomy places the organism in Eukaryota, Viridiplantae, Streptophyta, Magnoliopsida, Fabales, Fabaceae. The transcript is spliced from 2 exons.